This 717-nucleotide ribosomal RNA is filed under the name Triticum aestivum (bread wheat). RNAcentral describes it as "partial small subunit ribosomal RNA". The record is from RNAcentral. Lineage: Eukaryota; Viridiplantae; Streptophyta; Magnoliopsida; Poales; Poaceae.
AUGUUGCCGAACCGGCCCAAUGAGGAGAAAGAAAUGCCGCGCCGCACCUUAUCCCCAACUUCCCCGAUCUCGCCGCCGGCCCGCCCUGCCCAGCACGCCGCCCGCUUGCCGUCCCCGACGCGCCGCCGCCCGUGCACCUUCCCCGGCGCGCCGCCGGCCCGCCUUCCCCAGCUCGCCGCUGUCCCCACCUCCCUCCGGCGGCAGAAGCGCUGCCGCCCCCAUCUCCCUCCCCGGCAGACGCACCUCCGCCCUCAGCUCCCUCCCCGACAGACGCGCCGUCGUGACUCCACCUCCUGGCUGGGCCGCCGCGAGCCUCCACCUCCCGGCUUCCCGGCGCCGCCCCGUUUGCCUCCUCCCGUGGCCCCGCUCAAUCCAGCCCCGCCGGCUUCCCCGUGCGAGCCAACCAGGCCAGACGGCCACCCCCGCAAGCACUUGGCCUCGGUGUUUGCUUGGUGGAGACUAGGAGCAGCGACAGAGACGCCGCCCCGAGGCGGAAUCCCUGCGUCCGCUUGGUUCCGUCCACGGCAGCACAUCACCUCUCCCCGUCAUCCACCUGCCAAGUUCAUGUCGACAGCUUCCAUUUCAACCGUUGAAGCUGCAGAUGGUGCACGACAUGCAGCAGUGUCGCCCCAACAGGCAUGCAACACCGACGACGGCAGGGUGUGGCGUGCGUCUGUCCGGCAUGCUGGGCGUGGUGCCGAGGGGGCUGCAGUUUGA